This 77-nucleotide transfer RNA is filed under the name Bacillota bacterium. RNAcentral describes it as "tRNA-Arg". It matches the Rfam family "tRNA". From Rfam's summary of the family: Transfer RNA (tRNA) molecules are approximately 80 nucleotides in length. Their secondary structure includes four short double-helical elements and three loops (D, anti-codon, and T loops). The record is from RNAcentral. Lineage: Bacteria; Bacillati; Bacillota.
GCGCCCGUAGCUCAGUUGGAUAGAGUGGCAGACUUCGAAUCUGAAGGUCGGGGGUUCGAAUCCCUCCGGGCGCGCCA